RNAcentral lists this unclassified non-coding RNA (602 nucleotides) under Melitaea cinxia (Glanville fritillary). Its description in RNAcentral is "misc RNA ENSMCXG00005007646.1". Lineage: Eukaryota; Metazoa; Arthropoda; Insecta; Lepidoptera; Nymphalidae. The record is from RNAcentral.
UUUUUCUGAAUUACUCUAGCAAUUUUCUCAGAUGUACGUCGCAUGAAAAUUGUCAUAAACUGCCCCCAUUAUACCAUAAAACGAUAAAUAUGUUGUAAAAUCAUAAACGAGGGCAGCGAGCCAUCUCAUAAAUUGUACAAAAUUGGCCCACUUUGCAACAACUAUCAUUCCGCUGUUAUAAAAAGAGCAGUUUAUUUUAUUUAACGGAAAAAAAUGCUUUUCAUAAUUUCACGGCCAUAAACGUCUAAGGCUAGCCUUUUCACAUUCCACGACCCGCCAUAGCGUAGCAGAAUUUUAUUGUAUCGCCUUGAAUAAGUGCAAAUAGCAAAACUUGUAACUUACUACAUUUUGGGGUGACAAAAUAAAUGUUUUAUAAAAAAAAUACUGGGACAUUUUAUAAACCAGAUAAAUGGCGAAAAAAGUUACCCUCAGUUUAAUAGAAUUGAAAAUAUAUAUAAUUACAGGUAAAACCGUAAAUGAACUAUAAAUGUAAUCAAAUAUCAGCCAAAAUAAACCUUCAUGAGAGCCCCUUGGUUGAACCUUUCGGAGGCUACUCCUAAUAUUUGACUGAGUCCGAGUGCUUUAUUUGAUUCUGUAAACGU